RNAcentral lists this long non-coding RNA (3127 nucleotides) under Mus musculus (house mouse). RNAcentral describes it as "long non-coding RNA chr6:71549155-71552282". The record is from RNAcentral. Lineage: Eukaryota; Metazoa; Chordata; Mammalia; Rodentia; Muridae.
GAAACUGUGGUUAGUAUAUAGUGUGUGAGAAAAAAAAAUCUCAUUUUUAGUAAAGUAACUAAAAUUAUAUUGAAACUAUGUUUAUGUGUUAUACAUUAUAUAAUAAUAUAUUUAUUACACACAGAUAUAUAGUACUUUGAUGGGUUCCCAGCUCUCUCACAUGAGAGUUACAACCAUUGCUAACUCUGUAUCCAGGGCAUCUGAUGUCCUCUUCUCUUUGGGCACCAGGCAUAUAUAUAGUACAAGACAUGUAGGCAAAACACUCAUAUACAUAAAUACAUCUAAAUUUUUUUCAAAAACUAAAUAAAUGUUUUUUAUUAUUAUUGGCAUGGUUAUAAAUAUCUUCUUCGCAUUUGUGAUAUUUUUCUUUAAUUACAGCCUUGUGCAAAGUAAAAAUUCAUACUUUUAAAUAAAAAUGUCAGCCCUUUCCUUUCUGGUUAUUGCUUGUGUCUUUUAAAACUUAAUUUCAAAGAUUUAUUUUUUAUUUAUUUAUUUUUUAGGGAAAUAUUAAUCAAUUUUAUGUAAUGUUCUUUUAUGUAUGUAUGUAUGUGUAUAUGUAUUUAUUUUUAUUAGAUAUUUUCUUUAUAUACAUUUCAAAUGCUAUCCUGAAAGUCCCUAUACCCUCCCUCCGCCCUGCUCCCCUACCCACCCACUCCCGCUUUAACGAUUUAUUUUUAAGUUAAGUGUGGGUAUCUGGGUGUGGGUGUACACAUGUAAGUCAGAGGACUAGCACAUUGGAUCUCCUAGAGCUGGAGUUUCACGGGUGCUGGGAAUCCCAGGGCCUACGUAAGAGCGCAUGUAUCCUAGCUUGCUGGGCCAACUCUCCAGCCUGUUUCUUAACUUUCUUUGUUUGUUUUGUUUUUUAUGUGUUUUGCUUUUUUGUGUUUUGUUUUGUUUUGUUUUGUUUUGUUUUGUUUUGUUUUAAGAAAUCCUCUAACUCGACAGCAUCUCUUCCUAGAUCGAGGGCUUGAAGAGAGAGCUUCUUGUUGUGUGCUAGGCAAGCCUUCUUUCACUGAGCCACAUCUCUAGUUUUCCAGUUAACUCUGGUAUAAUGACUUUUAUUUCAUAAUUGUGUUUUGAAUCCACCAGGAAUUAGCUUCAGGGAUUGGUGGAACCAGGAUUUGGACAAUUGGUUUCUGUGCAUUGUUUGUCUCAGCACUGGUUGUAGGUGAUGCCUUCUUGCUCAUUUCAGUUUCCUUCAUCUAGUUUGUGCCUGGCAUAUAAUAGCCUCAGUGAAUGAAUUUGAAUAAAGCACUUAUCUUGAUAGUCUCAACCUUUCUGUAGGUUUUUUUAUGGUCUUCACAACAUAGUCUAACUUACAAAUUGAUUUUUAAAACCUUGUUACUGCAUUCCUACUUAUUUAAAUACCUUUUUUGUGUUAGUAAAGUACUGUUGAAACUAACUAAAUAUUUGUUUAAAUUUCUUUUUAUCUGUUUUGAAUCUUCUUUAAGGUAUCUUCAUACUUAUGGAACCUCUUUGAUACAUUUUGUUGAGCUGCUGGUCUCAGACUGUGUUUCUGAUCCCUUAAAGAAUAUUAGAGACAUAUGGAAGCAUGUAAAAUGCUAAGUGUCAUCUGGGCUGCCCCAGUCUAGUGAAACUGGCAUUUUUAAAAUUUAUACAUAAAUAUUAACAAUAGCCAAAAGUUAUAGAAAACUCAGUUGGUCAUCAACAGGUGAAGAGAGAAAUGUUUGUGGUGUAUACAUAUAAUGGGAUUAAGGUGAAACAUAAAAAAAGAUGAUUUUCAUGCCAUAACAAGCAUGAACCUUGAAAACAUGCUAUGAAAUGAAAGAAUUUAGAACCAAAGGGCACAUACUGUAUGAAUGUUUUUAUAUGAUAUAAUCAGAACAACCAGUUCUAUAAAGAUAGAAAAUAAAAUACUAGUUGCCAAGGACUUGGUAGAUGGGAAGAUAAGGGAUCCUUUAAGGUGUGUACUAUAUUCCAAGGUGAUGAAAAGAUUUUAAGGGUUGAUAGCAAGUUGUACUAAAUUUCGCCAUCAAUUAUAUACUUUAACAUGAUUAGUUGCAUAUUACAUAAAUUUAACUUAAAAUGUAAAUAAGCCUAUAAAAUGUAAAUAAACCUAACCUGAUUAAUUAUUUAAAAAUUAUAUUACCUUGUAGUUUUAUUUAUGUUUUAAAUUUUUGUGUGUAUGUAGAUGACAUGCCUGUGCAUAUGCCAGAAGAGGAUGUAGAGCAUCACUUUCUGCCUUAUUCCCUUAUUCCUUAUUUCCUAAAAGCUCAUUAAACUUGAAGCUCACCAUUUUGGCAAGGUUGGCUUGGCCAGUGAACUCCAGGGAUUCACUUGUUUCUGUCUCCCAGUUUUGGGGUUAUAAGUCAUGGCUGGCUUUUAAGUGUUGAAACAUUUCUUUCAGUGGUAUCAUUGUUUUUAUAAAUAUUUUACAGAUUUUGGUAAGUAAUUAUUAAAUGUUAAACUUGAAAUUUAAUAGAAACACAUCUACUGAUAGAAAAUUUUAAAUGCAGUUUAAUUCAUGUACUUGUGUGUGAAUGCUACAGGGUUCUGAGUUCUGUUCCUUUACAAUUAAUAUAGAAUUUUUGGUUUAUAUAGAAUAUAAGUACUGAAAGCCCUUUCAGUAAGGAGCUGGUGAUGGAAUGGCACUGAAGUAGUAGCAAUGUCACUCAGUUCUUCCGAGUCAUGUGCCAAAACGCAUACAGUAAUUUAAUAUAACUUUUACUUUUAAUGAAAUAUCAGCUGACACUUGAGAUUUUCUUCAGUAUUUUUGAAAAAGGAAAAGAACUGGAAAGCAGCUCACUGGCGUGAGAAUGAGCUAGUUAUUAGAGUCCCUGCACCAGGACCUCCACUUGGCUACACUUAGUGCCUCAGAGUUAACCUGACAGGAAGAAAAAUAACAUAAAAAGAUAAGUUCCUAGUACACAGGCAGAGUAGUUUUUAAAAUAAUUAUGUGUAAAAGAUGAAAAUCUUCUGAUGCCGUAAGACUGUCCUUGCCCAGGUACCAUGUACAAAAUACUAGUGUACCUGCAGAGCCUUCUCUAAAGUGUUCUUCUUCCCUGCCAGGCUGUAAACAGUUUAGAGUGCCUGUUUACCGUGAAUGAAGAGUUAGUUAAAAAAGAAAGGGAAGGAAGAAAUGGCCCUAAAGAUUUUUCUGCAGAAU